RNAcentral lists this ribosomal RNA (497 nucleotides) under uncultured bacterium. RNAcentral describes it as "partial 16S ribosomal RNA". It matches the Rfam family "Bacterial small subunit ribosomal RNA", at positions 28 to 507 of the family's 1533-position model. The record is from RNAcentral.
GAUGAACGCUGGCGGCGUGCCUAAUACAUGCAAGUCGAGCGAACAGACGAGGAGCUUGCUCCUCUGACGUUAGCGGCGGACGGGUGAGUAACCCGUGGAUAACCUACCUAUAAGACUGGGAUAACUUCGGGAAACCGGAGCUAAUACCGGAUAAUAUAUUGAACCGCAUGGUUCAAUAGUGAAAGACGGUUUUGCUGUCACUUAUAGAUGGAUCCGCGCCGCAUUAGCUAGUUGGUAAGGUAACGGCUUACCAAGGCAACGAUGCGUAGCCGACCUGGGAGGGUGAUCGGCCACACUGGAACUGAGACACGGUCCAGACUCCUACGGGAGGCAGCAGUAGGGAAUCUUCCGCAAUGGGUGAAAGCCUGACGGAGCAACGCCGCGUGAGUGAUGAAGGUCUUCGGAUCGUAAAACUCUGUUAUUAGGGAAGAACAAAUGUGUAAGUAACUAUGCACGUCUUGACGGUACCUAAUCAGAAAGCCACGGCUAACUACGUG